Molecule: ribosomal RNA, 606 nt
Filed under: Escherichia coli O146
Lineage: Bacteria; Pseudomonadati; Pseudomonadota; Gammaproteobacteria; Enterobacterales; Enterobacteriaceae
Description: partial 23S ribosomal RNA
Rfam family: Bacterial large subunit ribosomal RNA
Source: RNAcentral
GUGUGUUAGUGGAAGCGUCUGGAAAGGCGCGCGAUACAGGGUGACAGCCCCGUACACAAAAAUGCACAUGCUGUGAGCUCGAUGAGUAGGGCGGGACACGUGGUAUCCUGUCUGAAUAUGGGGGGACCAUCCUCCAAGGCUAAAUACUCCUGACUGACCGAUAGUGAACCAGUACCGUGAGGGAAAGGCGAAAAGAACCCCGGCGAGGGGAGUGAAAAAGAACCUGAAACCGUGUACGUACAAGCAGUGGGAGCACGCUUAGGCGUGUGACUGCGUACCUUUUGUAUAAUGGGUCAGCGACUUAUAUUCUGUAGCAAGGUUAACCGAAUAGGGGAGCCGAAGGGAAACCGAGUCUUAACUGGGCGUUAAGUUGCAGGGUAUAGACCCGAAACCCGGUGAUCUAGCCAUGGGCAGGUUGAAGGUUGGGUAACACUAACUGGAGGACCGAACCGACUAAUGUUGAAAAAUUAGCGGAUGACUUGUGGCUGGGGGUGAAAGGCCAAUCAAACCGGGAGAUAGCUGGUUCUCCCCGAAAGCUAUUUAGGUAGCGCCUCGUGAAUUCAUCUCCGGGGGUAGAGCACUGUUUCGGCAAGGGGGUCAUCCCGA